AGAUUGAACGCUGGCGGCAGGCCUAACACAUGCAAGUCGAGCGGUAGAGAGGUGCUUGCACCUCUUGAGAGCGGCGGACGGGUGAGUAAUGCCUAGGAAUCUGCCUAGUGGUGGGGGAUAACGUUCGGAAACGGACGCUAAUACCGCAUACGUCCUACGGGAGAAAGCGGGGGACCUUCGGGCCUCGCGCCAUUAGAUGAGCCUAGGUCGGAUUAGCUAGUUGGUGAGGUAAUGGCUCACCAAGGCGACGAUCCGUAACUGGUCUGAGAGGAUGAUCAGUCACACUGGAACUGAGACACGGUCCAGACUCCUACGGGAGGCAGCAGUGGGGAAUAUUGGACAAUGGGCGAAAGCCUGAUCCAGCCAUGCCGCGUGUGUGAAGGAAGGUCUUCGGAUUGUAAAGCGUACUUUUAAGGUGGGUAGGUAAGGGUUAGUUAACUUAAGUACGUUGACUAAUUUGAACGUUACCGACGAAG
RNAcentral lists this ribosomal RNA (476 nucleotides) under uncultured soil bacterium. RNAcentral describes it as "bacterial SSU rRNA". It matches the Rfam family "Bacterial small subunit ribosomal RNA", at positions 26 to 501 of the family's 1533-position model. The record is from RNAcentral.